GGCUCAGAUUGAACGCUGGCGGCAGGCUUAACACAUGGCAAGUCGAGCGGUAGCAGGCCGUUCGGGUGCUGACGAGCGGCGAACGGGUGAGUAACGCGUAGGAAUCUGCCUGAUAGAGGGGGAUAGCCCGGGGAAACUCGGAUUAAUACCGCAUACGCCCUACGGGGGAAAGCAGGGGAUCUUCGGACCUUGCGCUAUCAGAUGAGCCUGCGUCGGAUUAGCUAGUUGGUAGGGUAAAGGCCUACCAAGGCGACGAUCCGUAACUGGUCUGAGAGGAUGAUCAGUCACACUGGAACUGAGACACGGUCCAGACUCCUACGGGAGGCAGCAGUGGGGAAUAUUGGACAAUGGGGGAAACCCUGAUCCAGCCAUGCCGCGUGUGUGAAGAAGGCCUUCGGGUUGUAAAGCACUUUAAGCAGGGAGGAAAGAGUGAUGGCUAAUAUCCAUUAUUUUUGACGCUACCUGCAGAAUAAGCACCGGCUAACUUCGUG
RNAcentral lists this ribosomal RNA (491 nucleotides) under uncultured bacterium. RNAcentral's name for it is "bacterial SSU rRNA". It matches the Rfam family "Bacterial small subunit ribosomal RNA", at positions 21 to 507 of the family's 1533-position model. The record is from RNAcentral.